UAAGGAAUAUUGGUCAAUGGACGCAAGUCUGAACCAGCCAUGCCGCGUGAAGGAUGAAGGUCCUCUGGAUUGUAAACUUCUUUUAUCUGGGACGAAAACGGGAUUUUUAUCUCAAUUGACGGUACCAGAGGAAUAAGCACCGGCUAACUCCGUGCCAGCAGCCGCGGUAAUACGGAGGGUGCGAGCGUUAUCCGGAUUUACUGGGUUUAAAGGGUGCGUAGGUGGGCUUAUAAGUCAGUGGUGAAAUCUCCGCGCUUAACUUGGAAACUGCCGUUGAUACUAUAGGUCUUGAAUUAUCUGGAGGUAAGCGGAAUAUGUCAUGUAGCGGUGAAAUGCUUAGAUAUGACAUAGAACACCAAUUGCGAAGGCAGCUUACUACAUAUAAAUUGACGCUGAGGCACGAAAGCGUGGGGAUCAAACA
Molecule: ribosomal RNA, 421 nt
Filed under: uncultured bacterium
Lineage: Bacteria
Description: bacterial SSU rRNA
Rfam family: Bacterial small subunit ribosomal RNA
Source: RNAcentral